RNAcentral lists this ribosomal RNA (253 nucleotides) under uncultured bacterium. RNAcentral describes it as "partial 16S ribosomal RNA". It matches the Rfam family "Bacterial small subunit ribosomal RNA", at positions 524 to 776 of the family's 1533-position model. The record is from RNAcentral.
UACGAAGGGGGCUAGCGUUGUUCGGAAUUACUGGGCGUAAAGCGCGCGUAGGCGGAUAUUUAAGUCAGGGGUGAAAUCCCAGGGCUCAACCCUGGAACUGCCUUUGAUACUGGAUAUCUAGAGUUCGGGAGAGGUGAGUGGAAUUCCGAGUGUAGAGGUGAAAUUCGUAGAUAUUGGGAGGAACACCGGUGGCGAAGGCGGCUACCUGGACCGGUACUGACGCUGAGGCGCGAAAGCUAGGGUAGCAAACAGG